AGUAGCCCUAUGACCACCCCUAUGAGCUCCACUACCUCUGCCACUCGCACCUAUGGUAGCACCCCUACCCCUCACAGUUGGAAUAGGAGUAGCCCAAACCACCCGGUGGGGAUAGUCCAUAGCCACUAGCCAAUCUCAUCACACACAUAGCAACCUCUAUGACCAGUCUCAAUAGGAAAAGGUGCAACUGGGUUUGAACAGCCACCCUAAACUAUUGGACUAGAAGAUCUACCACUAGAACUCUGCAAAGCCUCCUGCACUUUCUUAUCGUGAUACCUACGAGAACCUCUAAAAUAUCUACCACAAGAAACCUGACCUCUAAACUCACCAAAAU
Molecule: long non-coding RNA, 334 nt
Filed under: Capsicum annuum
Lineage: Eukaryota; Viridiplantae; Streptophyta; Magnoliopsida; Solanales; Solanaceae
Description: long non-coding RNA (CANN_LNC005310)
Source: RNAcentral